CAGCAUUAGUAUAUGCCCUUCAAAUGUGAAUUUGCUGAGCCUUGUACUCAUCAAAUUGUUGCUUCCAGUGCACAGUGAGUGAGAGGCAUUGAAAGGUUACUGCCUGUGCACAAUGAGCUGAUGGCAUUGAAAGGCCAUUCUCACCACAUGGCGGUACAAAAACAGGAGGAAGGCAUGAAAAUCAGAAUACGUGCGUCAAAGCCUUACACAAUAUAUCAGAUGGAUUCAACAAUUGAUGCUAGUCCAAGAAUAUGGUUUACCAUACUAAUUGGCAGUUAUAGUGGUUUUUCCCGAUUAAAGACAAACUGCGGGAG
RNAcentral lists this long non-coding RNA (314 nucleotides) under Setaria italica (foxtail millet). RNAcentral describes it as "long non-coding RNA (SITA_LNC007142)". The record is from RNAcentral. Lineage: Eukaryota; Viridiplantae; Streptophyta; Magnoliopsida; Poales; Poaceae.